Molecule: long non-coding RNA, 2265 nt
Filed under: Homo sapiens (human)
Lineage: Eukaryota; Metazoa; Chordata; Mammalia; Primates; Hominidae
Description: HSALNT0320859
Source: RNAcentral
CUCCAGGAAACGCUGCCGAGGAGUAGGCGGGGCGGGCGCUUUGGUUCCGAGGGUGCUUCUGCUCCGACUGCUUUUCCCACGGGCGUCAUCUAUAGUCCGGAGGACAGCCCCAGGGCAGAGGCCUCUGGAUCUUGCUCUAUCUCCCAGGCUGGAGUGCAGUGGCUCCAUCAUAGCUGACUGCAGCCUUCACCUUCUGAGCUCAAACAAUCCUCCCACCUCAGCUUCCUGAGUAGCUGGGACCAUAGGCACACACAUGCACCACCACACCUGGCUAAUUUCUAAAAUUUUUUUUGUAAAGUCAGGGUCUCACUAUGUUGCCCAGGCUGGUCUUGAACUCCUGGGCUCAAGUGAUCCUCCCGCCUCAGCCUCCCAAAGUCCUGGGAUUACAGGCGUGAGCUACCACGCACAGCCCAACUUGCUCUUUUGGUUCUGUGGCUGCUGCAGUUAUGGGGAUGUACCCGCUGAUCCACAACAGUUUGGGAGUGCUCUUCCAUAAGCUCCCCUCCCUCAUGCCGGGCAAUGUGCUUGUCAUCGUGGUCUCCAUUAUCACGGUGGUUGCCUUCCUGGGCUGCAUAGGUUCUGUCAAGAAAAACAGGUGCCUGCUUAUGUCCUUGUUCAUUCUGCUGCCGGUUAUCCUCCUUGCUGAGGUGAUCUUGGCCAUCCUGCACUUUGUUUACGAACGGAAGCUGAAUGUAUAGGUAGCUGAGGGCCUGACGGACAGCAUCUACCAUUACCACUGGGACAACAGCACCAAGGCGAUGUGGGACUCCAUCCAGUCAUUUCUGCACUGCUGUGGCGUAAAUGGCAUGAGUGAUUGGUCCAGCGGAUAGCAAGCAUCUUGCCCCUCAGAUCCAAAAGUGAAAGGUUGCUAUGCAAAAGCGAGACUGUAGUUUCACGCCAAUUUCCUGUAUAUCAGAAUCAUCACCAUCUGUGUAUAUGUGCAAUCCAGGUGGUGAGGAUGUCCUUUGCACUGACCCCAAACAGCCAGAUUGAUAAAACCAGUCAGGCCCUGGGGGUGUGACCUGCAACUGCCCUGUGCUGGGGAGACUCGUUUCAUCUUUGGAAAUCCAAAACCAUUUAUAGCACGAAGUUCUAAAUGGUCACCUGCUGGACUGCCUGUCCUCCUCCCAACCCUUUGCUUUUUGGGUCGCUGUCUUAUACAGCCAGAAAAUAAGGUGUUGGCUAGGGACUUUCCAUCUCAGGCAGCAAGACAACCUUUCACCUACUGAUGGCAGCAGCCACGUCUCUCAAGGUGGUAACAGUAAUACUUGGACAUUUUUUUAGACAUGAAAGGCCAAGAGAAACUGUGGAACUAAUGGCUCAAGAUCAAAGAGUGGGCCCAGGAUAUGAAGUUUUUAACCUUCCCAUUGUCAAAUUAGUCUCUGGCCUCUGUGUCAUGCCCAGUCUGCUCUCCAAAGUCAAGCAAGAGACAAGCUGAAGAGGGUCCUAGGUCCAGGCUCAUGGGACCAUUGUCACAACCCUGUUUCUCUUUGACGAAGAGUGGUGGCUAUAGGAAUUACAGAGUGCUCUUUCUCCAAAGGGCAAGGUUUCAUUUCCAUUUCUUUAUUAAGGGCCUCAUCAAUUUAUUCUGUCUUUCCACAAAAAAUUAUCCAGUGAUUUAUAUCCUGACUUCAACCAGUUACUUAGUUGAUAAUCACAUGCACAAGACUUCCGGUGUUAUUUCUCUAUCAGCUAAGGUUUUGUUAAUUUACUAUUUUGCUCUUCGAUAAAUAAAAGUGAUCUUAAUUUUUUAAAAAAUCAAAGAAGUUUCCAUUUCUCAUCUAUCAAAAUAGUAAAUAUUUUAAAAAUGUAAUUCUUAAUGUUUAUGAAUAAAUGAAUAAAGUAUUAAUUUAUUAAUUUAUUGAAUGUCCACUAUGUGGCAGGCAUGCACCAUUAUUCAGAUUUAAAAAUAAAAACUCAUAACAACACAGAAAAUUAUAAUAAGUGAAAAACAAGCAGGACACAAAAAUGUAUGCACAAUGAUUAUAUUUUUAAACCCAGAACAUCGGCAUAGGGGCAAAAAACAAAUAACAACCAAAAUGUUGGUUGAGUGCUGUGGCUUACACCUGUAAUCCUGCACGAGGCAGGAGGAUUGCUUGAGGCCAGGAGUUCAAGACCAGACUGAGCAACUUAGCAAGACUCCAUUUCUACAAAAAAUAAAAAAGUUGGCUAUGGCAGUGCCUGCAAGUACUAGCUACUCAGGAGGCUGAGGAAGGAGGAUCACUUGGGCCUAGGAGUUCGAGGUUACAGUAAGGUAUGAUGGCA